RNAcentral lists this ribosomal RNA (252 nucleotides) under uncultured bacterium. RNAcentral's name for it is "partial 16S ribosomal RNA". It matches the Rfam family "Bacterial small subunit ribosomal RNA", at positions 524 to 776 of the family's 1533-position model. The record is from RNAcentral.
UACGUAGGGUGCGAGCGUUGUCCGGAAUUAUUGGGCGUAAAGAGCUUGUAGGCGGUUUGUCGCGUCUGCUGUGAAAAUCCGGGGCUCAACCCCGGACUUGCAGUGGGUACGGGCAGACUAGAGUGUGGUGGGGGGACUGGAAUUCCUGGUGUAGCGGUGGAAUGCGCAGAUAUCAGGAGGAACACCGAUGGCGAAGGCAGGUCUCUGGGCCACUACUGACGCUGAGAAGCGAAAGCAUGGGGAGCGAACAGG